GAUCAUGGCUCAGGAUGAACGCUAGCGACAGGCUUAACACAUGCAAGUCGAGGGGCAGCAUAAAAGUAGCAAUACUUGGUGGCGACCGGCGCACGGGUGAGUAACGCGUAUGCAACCUACCUAUCAGGAGGGGAAUAACCCGGCGAAAGUCGGACUAAUACCGCAUAAAACAGGGGCACCGCAUGGUGAUAUUUGUUAAAGAAAUUCGCUGAUAGAUGGGCAUGCGUUCCAUUAGGUAGUUGGUGAGGUAACGGCUCACCAAGCCGACGAUGGAUAGGGGAACUGAGAGGUUGGUCCCCCACACUGGUACUGAGACACGGACCAGACUCCUACGGGAGGCAGCAGUGAGGAAUAUUGGUCAAUGGGCGGGAGCCUGAACCAGCCAAGUCGCGUGAAAGGAAGAAGGAUCUAUGGUUCGUAAACUUCUUUUGCAGGGGAAUAAAGUGCAGGACGUGUCCUGUUUUGUAUGUACCCUGAGAAUAAGGAUCGGCUAACUCCGUGCCAGCAGCCGC
RNAcentral lists this ribosomal RNA (512 nucleotides) under uncultured bacterium. RNAcentral's name for it is "bacterial SSU rRNA". It matches the Rfam family "Bacterial small subunit ribosomal RNA", at positions 15 to 518 of the family's 1533-position model. The record is from RNAcentral.